This 254-nucleotide ribosomal RNA is filed under the name uncultured bacterium. RNAcentral describes it as "partial 16S ribosomal RNA". It matches the Rfam family "Bacterial small subunit ribosomal RNA", at positions 524 to 776 of the family's 1533-position model. The record is from RNAcentral.
CACGUAGGGGGCGAGCGUUUUCCGGAUUUAUUGGGCGUAAAGAGCUCGUAGGCGGCUCGGUAAGUCAACUGUGAAAGCUCCGGGCUCAACUCGGAGAGGCCAGUUGAUACUGCUGUGGCUAGAGUCCGGUAGGGGAGCGUGGAAUUCCUGGUGUAGCGGUGAAAUGCGCAGAUAUCAGGAGGAACACCAGCGGCGAAGGCGGCGCUCUGGGCCGGAACUGACGCUGAGGAGCGAAAGCGUGGGUAGCAAACAGG